AGCUUUGCGCAGUGGCAGUAUCGUAGCCAAUGAGGUUUACCCGAGGCGCGAUUAUUGCUAAUUGAAAAAGAAAAAAAAAAAAAAAUACUUGCCCAAGUUGAUGUGGUGAGUUAGUGACACAGUGUACAACCU
This 132-nucleotide small nuclear RNA is filed under the name Saimiri boliviensis boliviensis (Bolivian squirrel monkey). Its description in RNAcentral is "U4 spliceosomal RNA (ENSSBOG00000011216.1)". It matches the Rfam family "U4 spliceosomal RNA". Rfam says of the family: U4 small nuclear RNA (U4 snRNA) is a component of the major U2-dependent spliceosome. The structure of U4 snRNA from yeast and human has been reported. The record is from Rfam by way of RNAcentral. Lineage: Eukaryota; Metazoa; Chordata; Mammalia; Primates; Cebidae.